Siniperca chuatsi (mandarin fish) is the source of this 3161-nucleotide long non-coding RNA. RefSeq lists it as uncharacterized. Lineage: Eukaryota; Metazoa; Chordata; Actinopteri; Centrarchiformes; Sinipercidae. The record is from RefSeq and is a predicted model, not a curated record. The transcript is spliced from 3 exons.
AUUUAUAGGGUUUUUCCAUAGUGGGGGGGGGUUAGUGGUGCCGAGCCAUGCCGUGAACAGCUGCAAACAGUCUAGCUGCACUGUCACGGUGCAAGUGUUUUUUCACUGCACUGCAUAGCAAGGAGGAAGCACAGGCUCAGCUUUGUGGGCCGAGUCCUUCAGAGGAUACCUGAACUGGGACACAGCGACACAACUGAACCCCAACAGAGGUUUUACCUGCAAAAUGAUGAUCAGUCUAUGCGAAUUAUGCAUAGCCGUACCAUCACAUGCUACAGCGUGGCGCCAGGAUGAAUACCACAGCCCAGUCGUGAAGGCAGGGAGACAGAAGAACUCAGCAUUUCAACUGGCUGAGCAGAACCCGAGCCCUGGAAUCUAGUGGAGCCUUGUGCGGGGAAGAGUGACAACGGAUCAAUACCUGUGAUUAAUUAACUUCUAAUGAGCUCAUCUGAGCGUUGAGAGACCCAGAAAGUUGGACACAUCCCAUCAUCUCAUUCUCUCUGACCUGUCCCGUCCCCCACCCUUCCUCUCAUCCUCUCCUGCAUCUAUCGAUCUGAUAUGAAGGCAAAUGAAGAUUAUCUGUUGUUUUUAUUUGUGAUGUCACUCUCUCCUCUUUUGGGAUCUAUUUUUAUUGAAUAGUUAAAGAAUAACAUUUGAAAUUAUAAGCAGCGCAAUACCUGAAAUGGAAUAUUGGUUUCCAAUUUGCGGUCGAUACCUGUCUCGGGUUGCAGCACAAUGCAGGUACCUCAUUGUUAACCAUUCCUAUUAUUGUGCAUCAAUAACACAUAGCACAGUGGAAAUCGAAUGCUAUUGAGCUGACCUGAUUUUCUGUAGCUACUAAAGUUAGAGCUGCGUAAGUCAUGGUAAAGUCAGCGCAGCGAUGGUAGACACACAGGUUCCCACAUGUGAUUAUCCCAGCAGUCAUUAUGAUCCCUCAGAGAGUGAGAGUGAAAGCUGGGAGUGCAGAAGCAAUGGAGAUGAAUGGUCAUGUGAAUAGGGAAGUGGAUUGGGGAGCCCAGGCUCCCCGUGUAGCUUGGUCUGCCAUUUUCUCUCUCCAUUUCUCAGCUCUGAGGGCCGAGUGCAGAGUUAUUUGUCUCGCAGUGAAAUUAGUAAUCGCGGCGCCAUCCAUCAUUGGCUGACCUGCUAUUGAUCGCCAGUGCACCUUCUCUUUUCAACUAAAUUAUAUUACAAAAAAAGAAUAACAAAUGUCGGCACUCAGAGUGGUCCACACUUUUGCAUGCCUCAGCAAAAGACUCAGAGAAAAGGGGGAAAAAAUGCAAAGACUUUUUGUGUAACGGUAGUGAGACAUGUCAAGCAAUUCCAUUUGAAGAGAUUAGAGUUGUUGUUUUGAAGGUGACAAGUGCAGAGCAGGUUUAAACCAACAUAGACUUUGAAGCGGGGGGAUUUUCAGCUGGCACGGCUUGUUAUACACCAGUGACACCUCAGUGACAAAUGCUGUAUGCUGUUCCCUUGUCCUAAACAAUAUACAGGAUGGAACAUGCUGAUACAAGCAUCGACUUGUAAAUGUUUCAGAGGUGAGGUACUUGCCCUCUCCAGUAAAAAAGAUUUUGCACAACAUUCUGUAUCUAAAUAUAAACUUUCAAUUUCAACUACAGCUAUCAAAAUGUACUGCAGUGCACCAAAAUGAGGUCAAGAGCAGCUUUUUUUGUCUAGACUUUUUCCAUUCCACAGUCAAUAACAAAGACAGGCACUGCGCUCACGAUUAGCCUGCUAUUGAUCACUGAUGCCCCAUGACUACCAAAACAUAGUACACAGAGGUCAAUUGUCACCGCAUAUUCACUUGUGUCCCUUACAAUGGCAUGACUACAAUAGAAUUUGCUGCUGUGAGUUAGAUUAUGAGUUUAGUGGCUUGCAGUCAGUGGAUGAUACACAUUUUGACAUGAUACAGACAGACCUUUAGAGGUUGGAGUGUAUGGAAGAGAGCUAUACACUGCACAAAAUACAGAGAAGGGAAAUGUCACUGUGACAGAGAAGCACAUUAAAGCAGAAUUAAUUACAAUAUAGCCUUCUAAUUGCUGAACAAGAAAGGGAUUGUGGGAACAUAUUGGUAAUAGCUGGUCGCAGUUUCCAAAACCUGCAAAGAGGCAGAUUAGAGAAACUGAGAUUACCAUCUGGGAAAAGUACUGUUUAUCAGGCAAGGGGUUAAAACCUAGUGGUGCAUGACGCAGAACCUCUGUAUUAAGUGUGUGUGUGUGUGUGUGUGUGUGUGUGUGUUGGUGUGUGCAAAGUGACAGGAUGAGAUGGUAAAGUACAUGUAUUAAAUCCCUUUAGGAGCAGAUCAACACCAGGGCAAAGCGCUGAGGUACACAGCCCUCUACACAGAGCCCACUGUUUUGCAUCUGACCAACAGGCUUCACUCACAUUUUCCCGUUUACAAAUCCCUAAUCCCUAACCCCAGAAGUGGGACACUUUAGCAGAAUUCUCCGCUAUAUAAUCACAGUACAGAAAACUGUAAUCCCACGGUCUCCAUGUUCUCUUAAGUGUACUGUACAUGUUGUGUAAAAAUGAUGUUUGUCACACAGCACAACCCAUAGACCCCGAUGAAGAGAUGGUACAUACUCACUUGGCCUCUGUUUUUUUUUUUCUGGCUCUCAAUCCCUCUGACAGUCUGCUCUCUAACAGACACAUGAACUUUCUUCCUUAUCUCCUUCUCUAUCCUUAUCACAAUCCUUCCAUUCCUCCUCACCUUCCCAACCCGAUAUCCCCAUGGAUUCUUUCACACACACUAGAUAGCCUCUCAGUCAUCCAGCGUUGUGUCUUCCUCAGAUGUCUUUGCGCUGUGGACUUUGAACUCUGAAUGCCCCAGGCACCCAGCAGAGACCUGAGAGGACCUGCGGUUUGGCCUCCAAUCUACCAUAUCUUGACUGCAGCCAUGAAGAGACAGACUCCCUCCAUCCAGCACACUAACACACAGCACAAGUAUUGACCCCAUCAACAGGCCAUUGAAGCCCAGUGCUUCUCAAAUUGCAGUCAGAUUGAGUUUAUGUGGAAAAAAGAUAAUAUGACACCACUUCAAGAGUGUGGUUUAGCCACAUGGCAAAUCUGAGGAAGCAAUUAUCAAUGCUGGAAGUUUAACAAGAUAGGUUUUUGGAGUUCUCUGAAUCAGAAGCACUAAGUUGAAAUUCCUGAAUUUAUUUUUUAAA